UACGGGAGGCAGCAGUGGGGAAUAUUGCACAAUGGGCGGAAGCCUGAUGCAGCAACGCCGCGUGAAGGAUGAAGGUUUUCGGAUCGUAAACUUCUGUCCCUGGGGAAGAAACAAAUGACGGUACCCAAGGAGGAAGCCCCGGCUAACUACGUGCCAGCAGCCGCGGUAAU
This 170-nucleotide ribosomal RNA is filed under the name uncultured rumen bacterium. RNAcentral's name for it is "partial 16S ribosomal RNA". It matches the Rfam family "Bacterial small subunit ribosomal RNA", at positions 340 to 524 of the family's 1533-position model. The record is from RNAcentral.